RNAcentral lists this ribosomal RNA (563 nucleotides) under uncultured bacterium. Its description in RNAcentral is "bacterial SSU rRNA". It matches the Rfam family "Bacterial small subunit ribosomal RNA", at positions 338 to 916 of the family's 1533-position model. The record is from RNAcentral.
CCUACGGGAGGCGGCAGCGGGGAAUCUUGCGCAAUGGGCGAAAGCCUGACGCAGCCACGCCGCGUGCGGGAUGAAGGCCCUAGGGUUGUAAACCGCUUUUAACAGGAACGAAAAUGACGGUACCUGUAGAAUAAGGUGCGGCCAACUACGUGCCAGCAGCCGCGGUGACACGUAGGCACCAAGCGUUGUCCGGAUUUAUUGGGCGUAAAGAGCUCGUAGGCGGUUCAGUAAGUCGGGUGUGAAAACUCUGGGCUUAACCCAGAGACGCCACUCGAUACUAUUGUGACUAGAGUUCGGUAGGGGAGCGGGGAAUUCCUAGUGUAGCGGUGAAAUGCGCAGAUAUUAGGAGGAACACCGGUGGCGAAGGCGCCGCUCUGGGCCGAUACUGACGCUGAGGAGCGAAAGCGUGGGUAGCAAACAGGAUUAGAUACCCUGGUAGUCCACGCCGUAAACGGUGGGCACUAGGUGUGGGUUCCAACCAACGGAAUCCGCGCCGUCGCUAACGCAUUAAGUGCCCCGCCUGGGGAGUACGGCCGCAAGGUUAAACUUAAAUGAAUUGACGG